GCCUUCAUAGGUUUUCAGUAGCAAAAUGAAUGAAGACCCAAGAAUUUAAUCUGAUCUCAAAGCUGACUCUUUGAGCAGAAAGCUGCACUUCAGACCCACGUUACGCGACAAGGCUGUAAGGCUGUGGUUCCAUCACAGCGAUCACACACAGUGAUCAUUUUCAACAGACAACUGAGAACUUGUAAAAGUUUGAAGGACACUGAACUCUGAAUCAACCUAGAGGUAGUUGCUGCAGAGGUAGUAUGUCAGCUAGUUCAAUAGCUGAUUGCUUCAUGUCCUGGGCUCUGUAGUCAUGCAGUGCACUGGCUGGACAAGCGCCAGACCUGGGAGCAAGGAGGGAGUAAAUCUGUACAGACGGCUUGGAACUGAAACUACAUCUCAGCAAUAAGCAGGAUUUGGAGGCACAGUUGGAGGAUAGUAUUGCACUCUGUGUCUGAUAGAAUUCAACAGCUUUAUCUUUUGGGAAAAGGAUGUCUCUCCUGAUGUGGAAACAACUCCUAGCAACGAGGAAAUCAACAGCAGAAAUUCCUGCAGGUUGUUGCUUGUGCUGCUGCCACUAGAUGUCAAAUUGCCAUGAGAAAGGGUAAAGCAAUAUCAGGUGUGUUCCAUGCUUCAUGUGCUCAUAGCUGUUUCUUAGAGCACGCAGUAACUGCUGUUAGUGUGCAAAUUGCAAGUUAAUUUUAUGUCUCUCCGCUUCUCUGUGGCCUGAUGAUUACACAUAACAGCUAUUACCUGUUCUGUUUCCUUGCAUUUUCUUCUAGACUAUGUAAAAUAUUUUUCUCUUUCUGGAAAGACUUUGACUUUUCCUCU
Long non-coding RNA from Pogoniulus pusillus (Red-fronted tinkerbird), 810 nucleotides. RefSeq lists it as uncharacterized. The record is from RefSeq and is a predicted model, not a curated record. NCBI's taxonomy places the organism in Eukaryota, Metazoa, Chordata, Aves, Piciformes, Lybiidae. The transcript has 3 exons.